CCGAGCCCGGCCGGGCCCUCGGAAGUCGGAAGAGGAGGGUGCCGAGUGGCUGCGAACAUCGAAAGGCAGCGUCAAGUUCUGCUUCCCGCGCUGACCGGCCCCGCUCGCCCACGCGUGCCCGGGGAGGCUGGGGGCCAGCCGAGGGGCGGGCGCGGGGCCGGGGGCGCGGGGAAGUGAGCGGAAGUCGGAGCAGAGACCGCGGAAGGAGGGUGGCUGGCGGCGGUCGCGGCAGUCUCCGAGGCCGGUUCAGAUUUGCUGUUUCCGCGUCAGCUUUCCUGGUUUAAGACUAGAGUGUGGCCGCGCUGUGCUUUUCUGUAGAAAGCAACGGUCGAGAGUGCCUCUCGGGUGUAGUGCUCCGAUCGGAAAGGCGGGAGCUUGGUGAUCAAGGGGUUCAGUGCGGCUCAGCCGAUUCCUCAACCUGCCCCUCAAGGGCUCCCCGUUCUGAAAAUGAGUUCUUCAUGUCUGCGGUCCCCGUGUUGGAAACCUGCAGAGGAUGUUGCGGGGGGAAGGGAGGGCUCAGUCUUCCAGGCCGAAGGUGCGUGUGAGCAGGAGUGAGCCUCCAUGUGCGAUGAGGGUCUUUGUUCCAGGAGCCCCCCCUUCCCAAACCUCCAGGACUUCCCUUGAAGUAUCAAGAUCCCAGGCGGGGAGCCAAAAUCAUAGAAGGGUUCAUGUUAAAUCCAGAGUCAAGGCAGUGUCCAGUAAGUUUACAACAUUCAAAUCCUAUUCCGUGGACUGGCCAAAAUUUAAAAAUAUGGACACGGGACUUGAAGGAUGUUUGAUGGAGCCAGAAGAGGAUAUGACCAGCAAGAAUAUUUGUUUAAACUGAAAUCGAGACCUUCCUUCUCUUCAAUGGAGACUCCCAGAUACACAAGCUAUUGGGGGCUAUCCUACCAGAGAGCACAGUAAAGGCAGGGACGCCUGCCACAGCAUGGCUUGCCAAGUGGCGCCAUGUCUGCACCCGGGAUCUGAACCGGCGAACCCCAGGCCGCUGAAGCGGAAUGUGCGCACUUAACCGCUGUGCCAUGAGACCAGCCCCUUGGGGGUGAAUCUUAAA
RNAcentral lists this long non-coding RNA (1054 nucleotides) under Equus caballus (horse). RNAcentral describes it as "lncRNA (ENSECAG00000053237.1)". The record is from RNAcentral. Lineage: Eukaryota; Metazoa; Chordata; Mammalia; Perissodactyla; Equidae.